CCUGACCGAGCGACGCCGCGUGCGGGAUGAAGGCCUUCGGGUUGUAAACCGCUGUCGGAGGGGAUGAAAUGCAGUGGGGUUCUCCCCAUUGUUUGACAGAGCCUCGGAGGAAGCACGGGCUAAGUUCGUGCCAGCAGCCGCGGUAAUACGAACUGUGCGAACGUUAUUCGGAAUCACUGGGCUUAAAGGGUGCGUAGGCGGCUCGCCAAGUCAGGUGUGAAAUCCCCCGGCUCAACCGGGGAAUAGCGCUUGAAACUAGCGGGCUGGAGUGAGGCAGGGGGUAUGUGGAACUUCCGGUGGAGCGGUGAAAUGUGUAGAUAUCGGAAGGAACGCCGGUGGCGAAAGCGGCAUACUGGGCCUUGUCUGACGCUGAGGCACGAAAGCCAGGGGAGUGAACGGGAUUAGAUACCCCGGUAAUCCUGGCCGUAAACACUGAGCACUGGAGGGGAGGGGUUUCGGCCUUUUCCCUCGCAGCGAAAGCGUUAAGUGCUCCGCCUGGGGAGUAUGGUCGCAAGGCUG
RNAcentral lists this ribosomal RNA (519 nucleotides) under uncultured Planctomycetota bacterium. RNAcentral describes it as "bacterial SSU rRNA". It matches the Rfam family "Bacterial small subunit ribosomal RNA", at positions 382 to 896 of the family's 1533-position model. Lineage: Bacteria; Pseudomonadati; Planctomycetota. The record is from RNAcentral.